This 66-nucleotide transfer RNA is filed under the name Ascarosepion apama (giant Australian cuttlefish). Its description in RNAcentral is "tRNA-Gly". The record is from RNAcentral. Lineage: Eukaryota; Metazoa; Mollusca; Cephalopoda; Sepiida; Sepiidae.
AUUUUAUUAGUAUAAUAAGUAUAUUUGUUUUCCAAACAAAAGGUUUAGUAUUAAUUAAAUAAAGUA